UGCACCAGUUUGCACUCCCACCAGCAGUGUAUGAGGGUCCCUUCUCUUCCACAUCCUCUCCAACACUUAUUGUUUCCUACCUUGUUAAUUAUGGCCAUUCUGAUGGGAGUGAGGUGAUAUUUCAUUGUAGUUUUGAUUUGUAUUUCCCUGAUAGUUAAUGAUGUUGAAUAUCUUUUCAUAUGGCUGUUGGCCAUCUGUAUACCUUCUUUGGAGAAAUGUCUGUUCAGAUCAUUUUUUAAUUGGGUUGUUAGGGUUUUUUUGUUAAGACGUAUGAGUUCUUUGUAUAUUUUAGAUGUUAACCCCUUAUCAGAUAUACGGUUUGCAAAUAUCUUCUCCCAAUUGUUAGGUUGUCUUUUUGUCCUGUUGAUGGUCUCCAUUGCUGUGCAGAGCUUUUUAUUUUUAUGUAGUCCCAUUGUUUAUUUUUUCUUUUGUUUCCCUUGCCCAAUCAGACACGGUACUUGAAAAUAUGCUGCUCAGACUGAUGUCAAAGAGUGUACUGCUGAUGUUUUCUUCUAGAAGUUUCAUGGUUUCAGGUCUUACAUUCAGAGCAUGGAGACUGACAUCAGCAUCAUGGUGGAGUGUGCUUGCCUGGUGAACUCUCCCUUCCAGGAUACAACAAAAAGGACAUUCAUAUUCCAACAUAGGACAUCCACACAACACAAAAGAUGUCUGAGAGACCCAUGCAGCCAUACAUCAGAAAGUGGAGGUGCUGGAGCCCUCCCUUGGAGGAGGUGGAAAGAGUGGCCCAGCAUUUCACCAGUUUGGAUCCUGAGCAUGGACCCAGCACCACUCAUCAAGCCAUGCUGAGGCAGUGUCCCAAAUGCCACAACUAGAAGGACCCAAAACUAAAAUAUACAACUAUGUACAGGGAGGCUUUGGGAGAAGAAGGAAAAAUAAAAUCUUAAAAAAUAUAUAUAUCAAAUAUCCAUACCAGAAGGAAAAUGACAAGUACCCAGAAAUCAAUCCUGAAG
This 971-nucleotide long non-coding RNA is filed under the name Equus caballus (horse). RNAcentral describes it as "lncRNA (ENSECAG00000059021.1)". The record is from RNAcentral. Lineage: Eukaryota; Metazoa; Chordata; Mammalia; Perissodactyla; Equidae.